GUAACAAGGCGCAGCAGGCUAAACCCCAUUCGGAGCAAGACCAAACAGAACACCAUGACGCUGCUCGCCGAGUGUUCGGGUAGGUUGCUGGAGCGCAUCAGCAAUGGUGUGCCUAGAGGAAUGACUGUCCGACGACAGAACCCGGCUUACCGUCCGGCCUGUAUG
Molecule: RNase P RNA, 165 nt
Filed under: Neisseria animaloris
Lineage: Bacteria; Pseudomonadati; Pseudomonadota; Betaproteobacteria; Neisseriales; Neisseriaceae
Description: partial RNase P RNA component class A
Rfam family: Bacterial RNase P class A
About the family: Ribonuclease P (RNase P) is a ubiquitous endoribonuclease, found in archaea, bacteria and eukarya as well as chloroplasts and mitochondria.
Source: RNAcentral